UAUAUACUCCAUCCGUCCCAAAAUUUUUGUCUUAGAUUUGUCUAGUCUUAGAUUUGUCUAAGUACGAAUGUAUCAAGUCACGUUUUAGUAUUAGGUACAUCCGUAUCUAGACAAAUCUAAGACAAGAAUUUUGGGACGGAGGGAGUAGUUG
This is a non-coding RNA of Triticum aestivum (bread wheat), 151 nucleotides long. The record is from Rfam. Lineage: Eukaryota; Viridiplantae; Streptophyta; Magnoliopsida; Poales; Poaceae.